This 421-nucleotide ribosomal RNA is filed under the name uncultured bacterium. Its description in RNAcentral is "bacterial SSU rRNA". It matches the Rfam family "Bacterial small subunit ribosomal RNA", at positions 362 to 775 of the family's 1533-position model. The record is from RNAcentral.
UAUUCGUCAAUGGGGGAAACCCUGAACGAGCAAUGCCGCGUGAGCGAUGAAGGCCCUAUGGGUCGUAAAGCUCUGUUGUGAAGGAAGAACAUAUUUGAUAGGGAAUGAUCAAGUACUGACGGUACUUCACCAGAAAGCCCCGGCUAACUACGUGCCAGCAGCCGCGGUAAUACGUAGGGGGCGAGCGUUAUCCGGAUUUAUUGGGCGUAAAGCGUGCGUAGGCGGUUUAUUAAGUAUAAGAUUAAAGCCCGAGGCUCAACCUCGGAUCGUCUUAUAAACUGGUAGACUUGAGUGUGGUAGAGGCAAGUGGAAUUUCUAGUGUAGCGGUUAAAUGCGUAGAUAUUAGAAGGAACACCAGUGGCGAAGGCGGCUUGCUGGGCCAUUACUGACGCUGAUGCACGAAAGCGUGGGGAGCAAAUAG